Molecule: long non-coding RNA, 1915 nt
Organism: Canis lupus familiaris (dog)
Lineage: Eukaryota; Metazoa; Chordata; Mammalia; Carnivora; Canidae
Exons: 5
Source: RefSeq, a predicted model, not a curated record
AUGGAGCUGGUAGGGGGGUAGGCUGGAGGACCUAGCACUCUGCAUUUCUCUCUGUGCCAGCUGGUUAAGGAAGAGCACAAAGGAGGCCAAAGCUGUAGGCUGGUCCAACCUUGGUCAGAGACCUUUUUGGAUUUAAAGGACUGGAAGAGGGAUAGAGAGGAUUAUAAUAGUGAGACUGACCAAUUACUUAGGCUGGGUCAGGGAUGUAGACUUGGGCAGGCUUGGAAAUUCAGUUUUAUCAAAGAACACGUGCUGGGUUGGGCCAUUAUCAAUCUUCUGGAUGUUGGCUAUUUGCCUUUCAGGCAGUCUCCACUCCAUCUCACCCUGUGCUGCGCUCCCACAGGCUGGCGGUGUGAACCACAUCAACAGAAUCCUUGACCCUCUGGCUUUCGGUUGGCGUUGACCAUUUGAAGGCAUUCGCAGGAGAUCACAUUGUAGCAAAGAAAGGCAGUCAGGGAGGUGCCUCCCCCAGCUUUCUACCUUCCGGGUGGCUGUGGGUCAGCCACAUUGCUCUGUUGAGGGCCCAGCUUGCAUGGGGUGCCCUAGUCCAUACAGCCCCCCUACCUGUGUUCUAGGAACUGCUUCUUCUUGUGCCUUUAGGAGGACAAGAGGAGGCCUAAGAGUUUCCCCCUAUUAUUAAUGCAGAACACUGCCCUAUUCCUGGCAGAUUUUCCACACUUCGUAAAUCGCAGCUUUAUCAAACUCUCCUUAAAACAUCUCAUCUCAUGUGCCGACUCAGAACACUUGUGAUAUUCAAUCAAUCUGACAUUCAAUCAACAUCCAUCAGCUCAUAGUAUGGAAAUUAAGAUGAGAAUAACUGUCCCUAAGGUUUCCUUCCCCUCUGGAUUCAAGGAAUAAUAAAGAAACUUCUUCAGAAUGGAAGCAAGUGACCCCAAGCAGUAAUUAAAAUCCAUUCGAUAAACACAAAGAGCACAAGUAAAGAUAAUUAUGUAAUUUUAAAAGACAACAUAAAUGCCUCUGUGUUCUUUCUUCUCUUACCUGAUUUCACAAGCAAUUGUAUAAACUGCAAUUACAUGCUGUUGUCACCAGUGUGAAAUCUCCCGACUAUCCCCACCUGGUCUAUAUCACUGGACUAGUUGUCUGUGAUAUUUGUGCACCGUCUUGAGGCUUCGCAGACACAGGUAGAGCCCCGAUGCCAUCAUACCGUGUCUUUGUCAGCCCUCCUCCCUGUGUCACAUUUUGGUGCAUCUGGCUGCUUCUCUCUUGCCACCAGCCUAUGAAUUUUAUGAAGUACCUGUCUUUACAUGCUCAGGGGCCAGCCCAAGAGACAGCACACAGCAAGUGCUCAAUAAAUGCUGCACUGAGCCCAGUGGGGCCAGGGCCUCGGCUGUGGCCCUGUCUGGUGCCUUUCUCUUCCCCUACACUCACGUUCUCAGCUUGUGUUGGAACUUCCUUGAGUUAUGGAGAUACUCUUCUAUGUAAGAACAAGGCAGCAAUAUCCAUGGAAUCACAACCCUUCCAGACCCCGUCGUCCACCAUUCCCAACCUUCUGAUGGACACACACAAAGGAAACCCAGCCCACUACAGCUGCCAUGACUGCCACCACCACUACCAGCAGAUGUUUAAUUAGCACUUACCCAUACUAACUCACUCCAUCUUCAUAACCAUCUUCUGAGGCAAGUACGCCAUCCUUACUUUGAAGAUGAGGAAGCUGAGGUCCCAAACUGUGCUCUUAAGCAUCCUCUUAUGCUGCUUUCUGCAAACAAGCACUGCGGCAGAGUACAGAGAACGUGACCUUUGAGGUUGGAAAUUUCCUUGGCUUUGACAUUUAUUAGUUGAGUGAUCUUGAACAGGUUACUUGACUCCUCUGAGCCUCUGCUUUAUUAUCUGUAAAAGAAAUAGAGUUUCUACCUUGUAGUAAUGAAGAAAUAAAAUCAGAAGCUCUCGCAUCUCU